Molecule: long non-coding RNA, 1622 nt
Filed under: Heterocephalus glaber (naked mole-rat)
Lineage: Eukaryota; Metazoa; Chordata; Mammalia; Rodentia; Bathyergidae
Description: lncRNA (ENSHGLG00000042297.1)
Source: RNAcentral
GCAGAGGAGUCAGGCACCGUUCUAGGCAGACACAAACCACUCUGAGCAAAGGAGUAAUACGAAGUGAAAAGGAUCAGAUUAGUGAAUAAUUAAAUUGCCAGAGUGUAUACUCCAUGUUGCAAAUGAAGGGUCCCCCAAAGAUGAAAACUUUGACUAAGAGGAACUGCUGUUUUGCAAGCGUUACCUGAAAACCUGUAACCAAGGCCAGCUGGAACUAAAAAUCAACCACCAUCAAGCGUAUGAAACCGAUCUGAGGUCACUGUACUUAUAAUCGUGUACACAUAGCUUUGUGAAGAGCAAAGAACAAAAGCAAGUAAACAAAAAAGCCAAAGAUGGCGUCUGACGGCCUUGAAAAAGCCUCGCACUCUUGUCCCUCCCUGAGAAGGCCCCUCCCCUCCCUGUCUCGUUGAGUGACCGGUAAUGUUUGCCAAUAGCAACCCUGCUUAUGCUCACACACACGCCCAUCGCCCAACCACCAAUCAUUGAGAGCCAGAAGGCAAGCGGGGCGGUGCUUUUCUGCGUGCGCGCGCUGUGGCUGAGUACACGAGCCGGAGCAACUGACUCAGCCACCACCCGGGUCUUGUUGAGUCAGCGGGCGUGGGGCUUCGAGGCACCUGUGGUGGAACACCCGUGGGGCUGCUAGAGUGGGACCCCGCGGCGAGCGUCCGCCCCUGCCCAGGACCUCAGCUUUCCUAGCCACAUAAUUACCCACGUUGACCCAGCAAGAUCCCCUACCGCGCCUCGACCUCUGGGCUCUCCACCGCCCGCCGGGGACUGUCCCCUGGUCCGGCGCACAGUGGCGGGGCUCCCGGUCCCUGCGCCUGACGACUGCUCGGCGUCGCUGCGCUCUCUGCCUGUAGCCAAAUCACACUGCCUGUCGGGAAUGGUUCUGUUGUCCCUGGCGCCCACCUUGUCAUCUUUGACUAAUAUUUAAUCGACUAACAUUUACCGAGGACUUGCUGGGCGCGUGAUAGGGUUCUAGGAGCUAACUUUCCAUUUUUCAGUUUCUCCAGAAAAGCAGUAAGUGCUCUUUUAUGUCAGGCACAUUUAUAUGAAAAUCUGAAAGUGGAAAUUAUGGUCUUACCAAGUUGCACUUUAGCAAAUGUAAAUAAAAAAGGAUUGUGCUUAUGCUAAGUUAAAAACUCAUCCCCUGAUCUGCCAAUAAACAUGUAAUUUGGGGAUUACAUGGAAUCAUUGUUUAAAGCCCUUCUGCCCUCUGGGUCUGCAAUUCUGUUUUGUACACCUAACGAUGAGGGGUUUUUUUGUUGUUUUUUGCAAAUCAUUAGAUGGGUCAGUCUUUCAGAAUGUAAGGAAAUUGUAUUUUAUGGUACCUGAUUACCUGCUCAUGUGUGAUAGGAUCUCAUUUCUGAUAGAAAAAUAGGUUUUGAGAGGAUCUUCAAACAGGUGAGCCAUUUUGCACCUUGAUGUGGAGGAGCAGAGUUGACCAACCAGGAGGAGCUUUAAGUGGCCAUUUUUCCUUUUUUAUUUCUUAAAAUGAAGAUUAUGAUAUGAAUUGCCAGGCUUUCUGUAAUCACGUUUAAGAAAGUCCGUUUCUAGCCUGACCCUGAGCAAGCCAAAGGCCCAUUAUAAGAGCAUAUAUCAUUCUGAGGGAUACUGUAUCA